AGGCUUAACACAUGCAAGUCGAUCGGGCGUAGCAGUACGUCAGCGGCAGACGGGUGAGUAACGCGUGGGAACAUACCUUUUGGUUCGGAACAACACAGGGAAACUUGUGCUAAUACCGGAUAAGCCCUUACGGGGAAAGAUUUAUCGCCGAAAGAUUGGCCCGCGUCUGAUUAGCUAGUUGGUAGGGUAAUGGCCUACCAAGGCGACGAUCAGUAGCUGGUCUGAGAGGAUGAUCAGCCACAUUGGGACUGAGACACGGCCCAA
This 264-nucleotide ribosomal RNA is filed under the name Bradyrhizobium japonicum. Its description in RNAcentral is "partial 16S ribosomal RNA". It matches the Rfam family "Bacterial small subunit ribosomal RNA", at positions 46 to 334 of the family's 1533-position model. Lineage: Bacteria; Pseudomonadati; Pseudomonadota; Alphaproteobacteria; Hyphomicrobiales; Nitrobacteraceae. The record is from RNAcentral.